GCCCGGCUAGCUCAAUCGGUAGAGCGUGAGACUCUUAUGUGUAUACCAUCCCAGGUUCUCACGAGAUCAUCUCAAGGUUGUGGGUUCGACCCCCACGUCGGGCU
RNAcentral lists this transfer RNA (104 nucleotides) under Cercophora newfieldiana. It matches the Rfam family "tRNA". From Rfam's summary of the family: Transfer RNA (tRNA) molecules are approximately 80 nucleotides in length. Their secondary structure includes four short double-helical elements and three loops (D, anti-codon, and T loops). Further hydrogen bonds mediate the characteristic L-shaped molecular structure. tRNAs have two regions of fundamental functional importance: the anti-codon, which is responsible for specific mRNA codon recognition, and the 3' end, to which the tRNAs corresponding amino acid is attached (by aminoacyl-tRNA synthetases). tRNAs cope with the degeneracy of the genetic code in two manners: having more than one tRNA (with a specific anti-codon) for a particular amino acid; and 'wobble' base-pairing, i.e. permitting non-standard base-pairing at the 3rd anti-codon position. Lineage: Eukaryota; Fungi; Ascomycota; Sordariomycetes; Sordariales; Lasiosphaeriaceae. The record is from Rfam by way of RNAcentral.